Molecule: ribosomal RNA, 478 nt
Filed under: Streptococcus sp. oral taxon 066
Lineage: Bacteria; Bacillati; Bacillota; Bacilli; Lactobacillales; Streptococcaceae
Description: bacterial SSU rRNA
Rfam family: Bacterial small subunit ribosomal RNA
Source: RNAcentral
GAUGAACGCUGGCGGCGUGCCUAAUACAUGCAAGUAGAACGCUGAAGCUUGGUGCUUGCACCGAGCGGAUGAGUUGCGAACGGGUGAGUAACGCGUAGGUAACCUGCCUGGUAGCGGGGGAUAACUAUUGGAAACGAUAGCUAAUACCGCAUAACAGUCGACAUUGCAUGAUGUUGAUUUGAAAGGGGCAAAUGCUCCACUACCAGAUGGACCUGCGUUGUAUUAGCUAGUUGGUGAGGUAACGGCUCACCAAGGCGACGAUACAUAGCCGACCUGAGAGGGUGAUCGGCCACACUGGGACUGAGACACGGCCCAGACUCCUACGGGAGGCAGCAGUAGGGAAUCUUCGGCAAUGGACGGAAGUCUGACCGAGCAACGCCGCGUGAGUGAAGAAGGUUUUCGGAUCGUAAAGCUCUGUUGUAAGAGAAGAACGAGUGUGAGAGUGGAAAGUUCACACUGUGACGGUAACUACCAGAAA